Long non-coding RNA from Girardinichthys multiradiatus, 1537 nucleotides. RefSeq lists it as uncharacterized. Lineage: Eukaryota; Metazoa; Chordata; Actinopteri; Cyprinodontiformes; Goodeidae. The record is from RefSeq and is a predicted model, not a curated record. The transcript has 2 exons.
GCUGGAAGUAACGGCGAGGCGGAGAAGAGGAAGGAGAAACACGGCGAGGAUCAGCUGGGAGGCGGGCCGGUAGACGGCGAUCUACACCCCCCCAGUGGGCUGAGCUGGGAUUCAAUAACCGCCCAUUUAGGAGAGGAUCCUAGUGUGGCUGAUGCCUAUCUUCAGCGGUCAUUGAACAAGAGGCGGGGGUCCACCCUGGACAGGUCACCAGGACAACAUAGAGACACACACACGACAAACAACUAUGUACACACAUACCUGUAGACAAUUUAGAGAGACCAGUUUAACUAAUAAUCAUGUUUUUGGAUUGUGGGAGGAUGCCAGAGUACCUGGAGAGAACACAGACAUGCACAGGAAGAACAUGCAAACGUCAUGCAGAAAGACCCAAGGCCAGAAUUAAAACCCAGGACCUUCUUGCUCCAGGGCAACCAUGCUACCGUGCUCCACCGUGCAGCCUCAGUGGAUCUUCGAAGAUCAGGACAUUUCUCCAAGAAAACGGCUACAUAUCAACAGUCAGUGCAACAGUAACGCUUCAAACAGCCGGCACUGUGACAAACAAACCUGGACGAGGACCCAAGUUAGCUUGUCACCAUGCAGAGAGAGUAUGAUGGUUAGGAAGGUAAAAAACCAUCACAGUUCCCUCUCUGAUUGCUUCAACCUGGUGAAAUGUUGCAGGACAAGACUGAGUGCUGCCCUGUUGGUUAAACUGGAUUCUAAGUAUGAACAGAAAGGUUUUGUGCCACUAGGAAUUAUUUCUUACGAGGAGACUUUUUUCCCCUCUCUGAAUAAACCUGCUCGAAUUAAAUUUAUUUUCAUUUGUCUGCACAUCUUUUCUUAGCAGACACUUGGAUUUUCUGCUGAAAAAGUUAAAUAUUAUAAGAAAUAGUGUAAAAUUGAUCAUGUGCAGAAUGUUCUUCUGUUUUUUAACUUCUCCAUAUCUCUUACAUUACCACCUACUGGCUGGAAUAAGUAUUUUUGUAUUUUCAGACGCUUGUAUGGAUAGUUUUAUUUUCUCUGCAAAAAUGUUUGUUUGAAUAUUUGAGACAAGCUGUUCAAAGUCUUAAAUGCAGCCCCAUUAUUUCAUAUCAUGCUCACGCUAUGAGCUUUCUAACAGUGCAUGAGAAUGGAUGAGAAAAUCCCCUAAACAACCUCAUCUGCUGCCGUUAGACUCCAUUUAUUUCCAUGUUUCUUACCUCAGUCAGAGGACAACAUAAAUCUUCCAGUAAGGAUCUUUAGUGCAUUUUCUUCCACUGAAUAAAUUCAUCCAUGUCAUUUAUGCCAUCAAAGGUUUAAAGCUGCAACUUAAGGAAGCAAGUAAUUUGUGAUCUGAGCUCCGUUUUGUGCAUUUUGCAACAUGAAAACUUGUUUUCUGACUAUUCUGCAACUCUGUAUCGUUUUGAUGGACAUGUUUGAAAAACUGAGUGAUUUAUUGGAUAUGAAAUGUAAAUACACAAAGAAAAAUAAGCCUGCAGCUCAGCGACUUUUAAUUUUCUUUCUUUCUUUCGUGACUGACAAAUAAAUGCAUUUUCCACCCUGA